Molecule: long non-coding RNA, 253 nt
Organism: Lolium rigidum
Lineage: Eukaryota; Viridiplantae; Streptophyta; Magnoliopsida; Poales; Poaceae
Exons: 3
Source: RefSeq, a predicted model, not a curated record
GCUGAUGGUCGCCGCCGUCCGCGGGAUGCAUUGGUAGCACGACGCAGUCAUUUCCCUUUGUCCAUUGUCCUCGUUGUGGUCGGUGAUGGGCCAUGGGAGGACAAUUUGAUGUGCAUCCGCAACAUCCGAUGCUGAUUCGAUGAUUUCCAGAUAAAGUCGACAGAAUACCUCGCUGAUGCGCCUCCAAUCGUGCCUAAAACCUCGCCGCCCGAAGCCUUAGGUCGCCGCCCGGCCGGCGUCGUGGACUGCGCGG